This 344-nucleotide unclassified non-coding RNA is filed under the name soil metagenome. RNAcentral describes it as "partial contains 5.8S ribosomal RNA, internal transcribed spacer 2, and large subunit ribosomal RNA". The stretch from base 1 to 120 matches the Rfam family "5.8S ribosomal RNA", at positions 35 to 154 of the family's 154-position model. The record is from RNAcentral.
GAUGAAGAACGCAGCGAAAUGCGAUAAGUAAUGUGAAUUGCAGAAUUCCGUGAAUCAUCGAAUCUUUGAACGCACAUUGCGCCCUCUGGUAUUCCGGGGGGCAUGCCUGUCCGAGCGUCAUUUGCAACCCUCAAGCCCGGCUUGUGUGAUGGGUGCCGUCCCCUACGGGACGCGCCCCGAAGGCAAUGGCGGCGUCGCGGUUAUCCGAUCAGCCAAAGUGUAUGGGGCUUUGUCACUCACUUUACGGCCCGGACCGGCGCCAGUCCGAAUCAAUCUUUUUUCUAAAGUUGACCUCGGAUCAGGCAGGGAUACCCGCUGAACUUAAGCAUAUCAAUAAGCGGAGA